AUUGAACGCUGGCGGAAUGCUUUACACAUGCAAGUCGAACGGCAGUACGGGGGCAGCCCUGGUGGCGAGUGGCGAACGGGUGAGUAAUACAUCGGAACGUGCCCGGUCGUGGGGGAUAACGUAGCGAAAGUUACGCUAAUACCGCAUACGAUCUGAGGAUGAAAGCGGGGGACCUUCGGGCCUCGCGCGAUCGGAGCGGCCGAUGUCAGAUUAGGUAGUUGGUGGGGUAAAGGCCUACCAAGCCGACGAUCUGUAGCUGGUCUGAGAGGACGACCAGCCACACUGGGACUGAGACACGGCCCAGACUCCUACGGGAGGCAGCAGUGGGGAAUUUUGGACAAUGGGCGCAAGCCUGAUCCAGCCAUUCCGCGUGCAGGACGAAGGCCUUCGGGUUGUAAACUGCUUUUGUACGGAACGAAAAGGCUCUGGCUAAUACCUGGGGCUCAUGACGGUACCGUAAGAAUAAGCACCGGCUAACUACGUG
This 484-nucleotide ribosomal RNA is filed under the name uncultured bacterium. RNAcentral's name for it is "partial 16S ribosomal RNA". It matches the Rfam family "Bacterial small subunit ribosomal RNA", at positions 30 to 507 of the family's 1533-position model. The record is from RNAcentral.